UGCUUAAUUUUUCAUCAUCUUCCAUCCGAUUUACUGAACCAUCCUUAACUUUAGGAUGAAUCCUUUCAUUUAACAAAUGUGUUUUGAAUGUCCACUAUGUGCCAGACACUGUUCUAGGUGCUAGGAAAACAGCUGUGAACAAAACCAAUAAAAAUCUCUUUCCUCAUGGAAUUUAUAUUCUAGUUUAUUUGUGUUUGGGGCAGACGAGGUAGGCACUUGAAAAAUUUUAUCUAAGUUUAUUUAUUUAUUUAUUUGGAGACAGAAUCUCGCUCUGUCACGCAGGCUGGAGUGCAGUGGCACGAUCUCUGCUCACUGCAACCUCCUCCUCCCAGGUUCAAGUGAUUCUCCUGCCUCAGCCUCCCCAGUAGCUGGGAUUACAGGCGCAUGCCACCACACCCGGCUAUAUCUAAGUUAUUUUAAAAAAAUAAUUAAUUAAUUUAUUUUUUUGAGACGGAGUCUCACUCUGUUUCCCAGGCUGGAGUGCAAUGGCACCAUCUCAGCUUACUGCAACUUCUGCCUCCCGGGUUCGAGCGAUUCUCCUGCUUCAGCCUCCUGAGUAGCUGGGACUACAGGCACACACCACCACGCCCAGCUAAUUUUUGUACUUUUAGUAGAGACAAGGUUUCACCACAUUGGCCAGGUUGGUUUCGAACUCCUGACCUCAGGUGAUCUGCCCACCUCAACCUCCCAAAGUGCUGGGAUUACAGGCAUGAUCCCCCACGCCUGGCUAUAUCUAAGUUAUUUAAUUUAUUAGAAGAUGAUAAAUACUAAGAGGAAAAAAUAAAACAGGGAAGUAGGAUGAGGCUGUAUGGAUUGGUAAAAUUUAAGCUAGGGUGGUCAUGACCUCCCUGCUCACUUUGGAGGAGUCUGUCCUUGUCUUGUCAAUACCAAGAUAAGGGAUUUGAUUUAUGCUUAAAGGAAGUGAGGGAGUGAACCGUGUGGAUAUAAGGAGAGAGCAUUAUGAGUACAGUCAGCAACCAAUAAAAAUGCUCAGUGUAACUGGAAGGAGAUGAUCUCCUUGUGUGUUGAGUCAUAUGGGUGUGCUGAGUCAGACGGGAAGCCACUGGAAGGUUCUGAGCAGAGUGACAUGAUCUGAUUUGUGAUUUGAAAAGAAGCACUUUCACUUCUGUGCUAAGGGGAAAGAAGAUGGAAGAGGGAAAACCAUUUAGGGAGGUAUUGCUAUAUCCAGGCCCCAGGAGGUUGUGGUUCAGACCAGGGUGGAGCAGUGAGGGUGGUGGGAGCAUUUUGAAAUGAAGCAAGGAAGCAGUUUGAUUUCAUUUUGAAAGGAUCACUCUGGCUGCUAAGUGGAGAGUAGAUGGCAGGGGCAAGGGCAAGAAGCAGAGACUACGUGGAGGCUACCACAAUGUCAGGUUCACGACUGAGCCAAAUGUCAUGCUUGGGGUCAGGUUCUAGCCCAUGCUGAGGUCCAAGGGGAGUGGGUGGAUGAGCAGAAAGAACACUCAGGGGACCGUAGGCAGGUAAAAGAUGAUUUUACUCAGCAGCAGCUCUCAUCAACAGCUUUCUUACACUAGCUCUCUACACUGUCUGCCCUGUCUCAGGUGCUUAGUCUGGCGGCUCCCCCACACAGCUGCAUGGCCGACUCUCCCUUGCCUUCGGGGUCAGCAGCUUAACUCUUCCUCUCUCUGGGCAUGAGCAAGCCGAGCUGUGUCCUGGCUCCCCACUGUCAGUCUCCAAGAGGGUCAACUCUGGCUCUCUCUCUCUCUCUCUGGGUGUCAGCACGCCUGCACGAUGUCAACAGGGCAAUUAUACCUUUUACAGACAAUAGUGGCUUAGAGCCAAGGGAUGGCCUUCCCAUGUUAUGGCUACAUAGCUGUGAUAACAAGUGGAGUUAUAUGCCUGCGCUCUAAACUCGCUGAGUCCCUGUGGAUGUUUACCUCGUCCUAUCCUUGACCAAAGCACAGCCAUGUUCCUUACACACAGCCAUCCAGGCACAGCUUAGGAUGGCUUGACCAGGGUGGGGGCAGUGGUGAGCACUCCCCACUGACACCUUAAAUCCUUCCCAAGUGUUCAUUGUUAUUAAAAAAUUGUCAUAGAAUUUACAUAUUUUCAUCCUUUUUCCUUUCAAAUUAUCAUUGCCUUUGCAUAAAUUCCCAGAACCAGGAGUACAAAGCCCAAGGAAAUGAAUAUUUUAUGGCUUUUCUUAUAUAUGGGUGCUCUCCAAAAGGGCUGUGUUGGUCUAUCUGUGUGUGGGAAUGAACUGUUUUUACCACAGUCAAAUCAGUUCUGCUGAUGAAGGGGAGGAUUCACCCAUCAAAGCAAGUGAAUUGAAUGCUGCCAAUUUAAUGCACUCAUUUUGAUUUGGCCAUUUUGAGAUUGCUACUGCACUGUUGUUCUUUUUAAAGGAAACAUUUUAAACCCACCAAACUAUAAAGAAUAUUACAAACACCCUACGCUCACUACCAAGAUUGAGCAGAUACUGAUAUAUUGCCACAUUUGCUUGUCAUGGCUUUUGAUUACCAAAUGUUAGUGGCAGACAUCUUUGAUUCUUGAACAUUCUUCCAUGCCCUAUACAUCUGAGUCUUUCUCUUUCCUUGACCAUCAUUUCAUUUCUGACACCUCCAACCCUUUUCUAUCCUCAGUAUUCAUUCCCUUAUUUAUUUAGUCAACUAAAAAGUUAAGUGUCUGCCCUAUGUUAGAAUUGGGAGUUACAGAAUAAGGAUCAGGGAUUGGGCGGGACUGAAUGAGGAUUCCGGGAGUUUUUUUAUAGCUGAAAGAGUAAUAUUUUGCUUUUCAGACCAUGUGUCAAUGUUCCCAAGAUGAAUUGCCUAGCUUAAAAAGCCACAUCUGAAUACCACGUGCUUAAUCACAGAGCUCGUUUGUGGCAGGCUUUGCAACUCCCAGUCCUUCUUGCUUUCUAAUGCAUCAUAAUUCUUUCAUUAGUAAACUAAUUUUCCUCUUUCUGCUAAAUCACAGGGUCUGGCUAACAAUGAAGUUUGGGCAUAGUUUCAAGAAAACAGCCCCACCCAUCCACUACCUUGCAAUAAUCCUACUUCUUCCUCAUCCCUUAACACAGCCUCCAUACCCCCUUAACUUCCAGGUGCUCCAUCUGCCUCCUACUGUGAAAUAGAAGGCACCUGAGAAAUGUGCCAUGAGGGAUACGGUUUAGGUGCUACAAUCAUAAGGCUGCAUAACAUCAUGGUACAGAUGAGAUAUCAUUAAGAAUGAGGAUGUCUGAUAUCUGACAGACAGUGUAUUAGUUUCCUAGGGCCAUCAUACCAAAUUACCAAAAACAAGGUAGCUUAACAGAUAUUUAGUCUCUCACAGUUCUGGAGGGUAGAAGUCCAAAAUUGGCAGUGCCAUGCUCUCUCUGAAGCCGCGAGGGAGGAUUCUUUCAUUGCCUCUUGCUUGGUUCUGGUGACUUCUGGCAAUCCUUGGCAUUCCUCAGCUUGUGGCGGCAUCACUCCCACCCCAGCCUCCAUCUUCACAUGACCUUCCUCUCUGUGUCUCCUCCUGUGUUUCUGUGUCCACAUUUCCUUCUUUUUAAGGACACCAGUCACUGGAUUUAGGGCCCACCCUAAUUCAGUAUGACUUUAUCUUAACUUGAUUACAUCUGUAAAGACACAUUUUUUUUUUCUUUUGAGACAGGGUCUUUCUCUGUCACCCACGCUGGAGUACAAUGGCACAGUCAUGGCUUAUGGCAGCCUCAAAUUCCUGGGCUCAAGCAAUUUUCCUCCUUAGCCUCCCAAGUAGCUGAGAAUACAGACAUGUGCCACCACGCUCAGCUAUUUUUUUAUUUUUUUAUUUUUUACUUUUGUAGAGACAGUGUCUUGUUAUGUUGACCAGGCUGGUUUCCAACUCCUGGGCUCAAAUGAUCCUCCUGCCUCAGCCUCCCAAAUUACUGGGAUUACAGGCAUAAGCCACCAUGCCAGCCAAAGACACUAUUUUGAAAUAAGUUCACAUUCCAAGUUCCAGUAGAUGUGAAUUUUGGGGAGAUGCUAUUCAAGUCAGUACAGCUGAAUUCUAGAUUUGCCAAUUAUUAGCUGUAGGAUCUUGGAUCAAUUAGUAAGUAUGCAAUAAAGAUAGUGAUAAUAAGAAUUCAGAGGUAGGGAAGAGGAAACCAUUCUGAUCGAUAAAACAACAUGAAAGAGGAGUUCACCCAGUAUUUAAGCUGGGUGGGAGGAUUUUAAUGGGGAGCUUUAACUGCUUCUUGGUUAUUUAUUCCAUACUUCCUGUCAGAUGUCAGAUGUGUAUUGAGCAACAAAUACUAUUCCAGGUGGUUGUGGAAUUAUAAAUUGUGGAUUAUACAUUCUCUGUAAAUGGUUGGAAGAAAAAACUGGCCAAUUCUGAGACAGACACUCUUAGGUUUUAAUGACAAGAUACUAUGUGGUGAAAUUCAGAUGUUUCAGCACAGGGACUUUGUGAAGACUCCUGGGGGUCCUGUCUCUAGGAAUGGCUCUUGGCUUAGGAAGGAAAGACCAGGAAAGUGUAGGGUGGUGGGCGUGGACCUGAGAAAAUGCUCUGACAAUAUUUGCUAGUGUACCCCAAGACUAGGACAUUGCUGGGGCUGAUGAGGGAACCAGAGAUAAGGGAUCAUUCCCUUUGUCUUCCCCCUAGAGGACUGGUUUGAAGAGUGCAGGCAGGCACCUGCUAUGAGUCCUGAAUGUUUGGAGGUUGCAUACCUAUAUGCCAGCAGGGGGAUAUUGGAGGAGGGGCUAGAUCUCCCAGUCUUACAACUCCCUGGGAAGAAAUAAUCACUAGCAGUUUAUUUCACAUUCACUCUGAGCCAAGCACUUUACAUCUGUGGUGGGAAUUUAAUGCCUAUAACAGUCCUUACAGGUAGGCUUUAUUAUCCUCACUUUAGAGAUGAGAAAUCCGAGGCUUAGAAACAUGAUUUGCUCAAGGUCAUUCUCCCACCAAGUAGCAGAACCGGGAUUCCAGUUCAGCCUUGAUAAUAAGGCCAGUGUUCUUAAUUACUAGCUGUAGACUGAGCUAAGUGCUUCAGGACAUAAUGAUUCAGAGAAGCUAGGAUGCUUGAGCAUUCUCUGAAUCAUUAUAUCCUGAGCCUCACAAAUGAUGUAUCUGCUCCAGCUUAGGAUCCAUGAAGGGCACUGUGCAACAAUGAGAGUAGCUGAAGACUGGCAAUGUUAACUAAUGCAAGUCUCAGAAAGAGGAAGAUGAUAUUUGCAAACUCCAGGUGGGGUUCGAUGGCAAGCAUAAUUCCAGAAAAUAACUUUUUUUUUUUGAGACAGGGUCUUGCUCUGUUGCCCAGGCUGGAGUUCAGUGUUGCAAUCUUGGUGAUGGCGUGGGUGGCCCUUCUGGAGUGGCUGCUAUCAUGACACUGGCUGCAGUGGGGGAGGCGUGGCCAGGGCUGCGAGCUCUACAGGGCUGGGAGGAGCCGGGAACUGUGGAAGCCCUGCCCACUUCCAAGUUGGCAGGGCGGGAGCCUUGUGCUCCCUGGGUGCAGCUGCAGCUGCCCAGGCACAGCUCCAGACCUGGACAUCCCUGUGCUCUUGGGGGCCAGAAUCAGGCAGGAGCCCUGCCCUCUCAGGCACAGCUGCAGCCAUCCAGCCAUGGCUGUGGACCCGGGCAUCUCUUGGGGGCCAGGGAAGCCUCCCUGCCCCUGCAGGCUCAGAAGUACCUGCUCCUGUUGCCUGGUCUCUCCCCACUCCCGGUGCCGACUCUGAUUUUGGAGCAAAGUUGAGGCCAAGCCCAGGCCCUCUUGCAACCCAGCCAGGUGUAUGCAUGCUCAGAGCAGCACUGACAUGCCAGACCCCUGCCGCCUUGGCUCCCCUCCAGGCUUUGGGCACUGACGAGCACAGGAGGGAGGCUGAGGGAGCACUGAGGGUGGCUCAGCAUGGGCCUGCAGGAGCCCCUCAACACAAAUAGCUUGGGCAGUGGCAGGAGGCAGACAAGCUCCUGGGCAGAAAGGGGCAGGUCCCUGGUGAAGCCUCACCUUCAAGCCAGGGAUGGCCUAAAGCCUGGUGGUGGGGCUGAUGGGCCAGAAUGGGAACUUAUGGUGCUAUUUUCAGGCCCACCCAUUGCCACCCGUGAACCAAUCAGCAUGUACUUCCUCCCCUCUGAAGCCCAUAAAAACCCCUGGACUCAGCCAGACUCCGAUGACCAGAUGACCUGCCUUUGGAGAGGAGCUACCUGCUCCAGGAUCUCCUCUCUGCUGAGAGCUGGGCAUAAGUUGGGACUACCAGCUGCAGAGAGGAGCUGCCCACUCUAGGGUCUCCUCUGCUGAGAGCUGAACACUGUUGGGACAACCUGCCUGUGGAGAGGAGCUGCCUACUCUAGGGUCUCCUCUGCUGAGAGCUGAACACUAUUGGGACAACCUGCCUGUGGAGAGGAGCUACCCACUGUGGUUUCCUCUAAGCUGUUCUGUCACUCAAUCAAACUCCUCUUUGACUUGCUCACCCUCCACUUGUCUGCGUACCUCAUUCUUCCUAGACACAGGACAAGAACUUGGGAUGCGCUGAAUGCCUGGGCUAAAAGAGCUAUAACACAAAUGGGUCUGAAAUACACCCCUUGCUUACCACGUUGUGGGCAACAAGAAGGAGAGAGAGCUGCAGCCCUUCUGGGAGCCCAGACCUAGGAGCUCCCCAAGCCAGGGCUGUAACACCCUCUCUGGGGCUCUGUGGUUCCCGGCAUCUCCAAGCUUCCAAGUUCCACUGCGUUCCUCAGUGCCAGCCAUGGAAGCUGCUUGUGGUCCACCUGGUCCAGCCACAGCCUCACAGGGAGCUGGCGCCUGUGCUGGUGCUUGGAACUGCCUGCCCCACCACAGCCAGUGUGCCUGGCUGUGCUCAGUGGCCGGGCACCAUGCUUGCUCACUCACACACCCCUUGCUGCUCUGUGCCUGGCUCUCCCUUGGCAGGCAUGAGAUUCAGGCCAGUAGUGCAAGCUGAGCACAGCCUGCCAGGCUGAUUGGGUGGAACAAGCCCAGCGGGCCUAAGUAAAAACUCAGGGAAAAGCGCCACUGGCCACACAGGUUUCCGGCUGGUGAAGUGACACCCACAGGAUCCCAUGACAUCAGCUCACUGCAGCCUCAACCUCCUGGACUCAAGUGAUCCUCCCACCUCAGCCUCCCAAGGUGCUGGGACUACAGGCAUGCACCACCAUGCCCAGCUAAUUUUUGUAUUUUUUUGUAGAGAUGGGGUUUCACCAUAUUGCCCAGGCUAGUCUUGAACUCCUGGGCUCAAGUGAUCCACCUGCCUUGGUCCCCCAAAAUGCUGGGAUUACAGGCAUGAGCCACUGUGCCCAGCCUCAGAAAAGAAUAUUAAAGGAGUAGCUCUUGAAAGCCUAGAGUGGGAACAUCUAGGCUUUCAAGAGCUACUCCUUUAAUAUUCUUUGAGGGUGACAUCCCUCAAAAUCAAUCAUUUCCCUUCCCAUUCCCAUGACUGGAGUCAGUGGUUCUCAGUCUAGGCUAUUUAAUAGAAUCACUUGGGAAUGGACAUCCAAGUCCCACCUAGAUCAAUUUAAAAAAUUCUUUGGAAAAAUCCAAAGUGAAGGGAGGAGGAUGUGUGCCUGCUAGCUAUAAGUACUGAGCUGUUACUUCCACCAUCGUCUCUAUUGCUUUCCAAAGCCCAGCCCUCUCACUGGGGAGAAGCCAUGGUUUUAGUGUAUGUGCCAGAGAAUUUCCUCCAUUUAAAGGAGGUAUUUGCUGCUAAGGGGACACUGUAUAUAGAAAGACCAAGAAUGGAAUAUGAAUAAGAAGAGGUGCCUUCACUCUCAAAGAUCACAGAAGCAAACAGAGCUAUGUCUUGGAAAUAUGAAGGAAAGGCCUGUAUUCCAGACUAGCCCCAAGGGUGUGGGGUCAGAGAAAAUUUCUUCAAGCAGUUCUGGAGGCUGAAAGUCCAAGAUCAAAGCACCGGCAUUUGGUGUCUGGUGAGGGCUGCGCUCUGCUUCCAAGAUGAUGCCUUAUUGCUGCAUUCUUCAGAGAGGAGAAAUGCUAAGUUUUCAUAUGGUGGAAGGUAGAAAAAGAGCAAGAGGAAUGAAUUCGUUACAUGAAGCCAUUUUAUAAAAGCACUAAUUCUAUUCCUAAGGGAGGGGCCCUCAUGGCCUAAUCACUUUUUAAAAGCCCCACCUCUUAAUACUGUCAUAUUGGCAACACCUGAAUUUUGAAGAUACCCAUUCAAACCAUAACACUUGUUUUAUAUAUAUUUAAAUUGUUCUUUAAUAAAAUAUUUUACCUAACAAAAAUUCUGUGGAAGCCAAAGCAGUGGUAGUUAUUAUCUUUGUGAUAACAGUUUUAUUGAGAUAUAAUAUACAUACCAUACAAUUUAAGUAUACGUUUAUACAUAUACAAUUUAAAGUAUACAAUUCAGUGGUUUUAAGUAUAUUCACAGAGUUCUACAACCAUCACCACAAUCAAUUUCAGAAUAUUUCAUCACUCCAAAAAGAUAGUUGUAUCUGUAGCCACCACCCCUAAUCCUCUCAUCUUUCUUAUCCCUAGACAACCAUUAGUCUACUUUCUAUUGCUAUAGAUUUGCCAUACUGAACAUUUAAUAUAAAUGGAAUGAUAACAAUAUAUGGCCUUUUGUGUCUGGCUUCUUUCACUUAACAAUGUUUUCAAGGUUCAUCCAUGCUGUAGCACAAAUCAGUACUUCAUUUCUUUUUAUGGCUGAAUAAUAUUCCAUUGUAUAAAUAUGUCACAUUUUGUUUAUGCAAUCAUCAAUUGAGAGAGAUUUGGAUUAAUUCCACAUAUUUUUGGCCAUUAUGAAUAAUGCUAUUCAUAUGGCUAUAUGGCUGUUAUGAAUAAUAUUAUAAAAAUUCAUUUGCAAAUUGGGACAUCUAGUUCCUCCCCCAGUAUUCGCCAGCUGGUAUAUAGGGAUGUGGCCUUCAGACAUUUGAACUUGGGUCUUCAUUUCUCUUGGGUAUAUACCUAGGAGUGAAAUGACUGGGUCGCGUGGUAACGAUAUUUAAUUUCUCGAGGAGCAGUGGUAGUUUUAAAACUUCCCAGUUGAUUCUAAUGCAGAUCCAGGGCUGAAAAGCAGUGAUCUCAACGAAUGGUGAAACUCAGAAACGCACACUCUUGACAGCUUCAGGGAGACAUUUACAGGGUCCUUCUUAAGCCUUGGGGGUCCAUGUGGAACAAUGAGAUUGGUUCGCAACUGGCUUUCCUGCCAUACCCAAGACACAGUGAUUGCCAUCAGUAUGCAGGGAAAUGUAUCUUAAUGCUCUGCUCUCACCUCUAUUUGAUUCAACAUUUAUAAUAAUGACUUGUGGGAUGAAUAUCUGGAACAGGGGUUUUCAAAUGUUUUUCUAACUGUGCAACCCUUUCUUCCAAUAAAAUUCUCUGUGGAAACUAAACUCAAGGCUCUGUCUACCGGGUCUGUAGAAGUUUUCUGUCUUGCCCACCCACCCUGCCCCACUACUUCUGAGUCCUUCCUCAAAGCACCA
Molecule: long non-coding RNA, 9360 nt
Filed under: Homo sapiens (human)
Lineage: Eukaryota; Metazoa; Chordata; Mammalia; Primates; Hominidae
Description: HSALNT0009825
Source: RNAcentral